UACGUAGGGUGCAAGCGUUAAUCGGAAUUACUGGGCGUAAAGCGUGCGCAGGCGGUUUUUUAAGUCUGAUGUGAAAUCCCCGGGCUCAACCUGGGAAUUGCAUUGGAGACUGCAAGGCUAGAAUCUGGCAGAGGGGGGUAGAAUUCCACGUGUAGCAGUGAAAUGCGUAGAGAUGUGGAGGAACACCGAUGGCGAAGGCAGCCCCCUGGGUCAAGAUUGACGCUCAUGCACGAAAGCGUGGGGAGCAAACAGG
Molecule: ribosomal RNA, 253 nt
Filed under: uncultured bacterium
Lineage: Bacteria
Description: partial 16S ribosomal RNA
Rfam family: Bacterial small subunit ribosomal RNA
Source: RNAcentral